ACGACAGCCCUGGAACCUGAUAUCCUCUAUUAAGCCACAAAGCAAGUGCAGCACCAGAAGGAGCAGUGACCACGCUGUCCCACCAAUAUCUCUCAACCCUUGAGCUGGAGGGGGCCACCUCCAAGGAUGAGAGAGGUAGUUCAGUCUCUAGGCCAGUUCAUUCCUUAGUCUUU
Molecule: small RNA, 173 nt
Filed under: Gopherus agassizii (Agassiz's desert tortoise)
Lineage: Eukaryota; Metazoa; Chordata; Testudines; Testudinidae
Description: TUC338 (ENSGAGG00000019953.1)
Source: RNAcentral